Non-coding RNA from Sarcophilus harrisii (Tasmanian devil), 628 nucleotides. The record is from the annotation of a RefSeq genome assembly. NCBI's taxonomy places the organism in Eukaryota, Metazoa, Chordata, Mammalia, Dasyuromorphia, Dasyuridae.
AGUGAAAGCAGUUCCUUCAACUAGAGAAUUCAGAUCCACAUCUAAGAUUCCAGAACUGACUUUUCCUAUUCCUAGCAAGUGAAAGGAUGGAGAAGCUUCAGGGAGCUUCAUUAGUGAUACUGUGUCUUCAAGUGUUCUGGGUGAGCUGUCAACAAAAGGUGGAGCAGAGUCCCCUAAGCCUGCAGGUCCAGGAGGGAGAGAACACUGCUUUCAACUGCAGUUACUCUGACAGUGGUUCCCAAGGGCUUCAGUGGUUCAAGCAGGAUUUUGGGAAAGGCUUCAUCUCUUUAUUUUCCAUAACUUCUGAGGAGAAGGAGAAAGGAAGGCUAAAAUCCACAAUCAACAGAAAGGAGCGUCUCAGCACCCUGUACAUCACAGCCUCCCAGCCUGGAGACUCCGGCACUUACUUCUGUGGUGUGAAGGCACAGUGAUCCACAGGCACCUGCAAACUGUGCAAAAACCCUGCAGGGGGAACUCCUGCUACACUCCCUGCCAAGGUGCAUAUGAUGGUAUACAGAAAACACUUUGGGAGGUUCAUUUUCGCUGGUUCACUAUGAGAAUUUUUCAUUCCCCCGGUUUGAGACUCUGGAUUUUAGCUUUCAUUUCUUUUUUUUUAAAAUGAAUUCUA